RNAcentral lists this ribosomal RNA (2918 nucleotides) under Taurinivorans muris. Its description in RNAcentral is "Desulfovibrionaceae bacterium LT0009 23S ribosomal RNA". It matches the Rfam family "Bacterial large subunit ribosomal RNA". Lineage: Bacteria; Pseudomonadati; Thermodesulfobacteriota; Desulfovibrionia; Desulfovibrionales; Desulfovibrionaceae. The record is from RNAcentral.
AGACAAGUUAUUAAGAGCAACGGGCGGAUGCCUUGGCGCUGGAAGGCGAUGAAAGACGUGAUAAGCUGCGAUAAGCGUCGGUGAGGAGCUAAAUAUCCAUUGACCCGGCGAUUUCUGAAUGGGGAAACCCAGCCGGAGUAAUGUCCGGCUGCCGCAACAUGAAUGAAUAGUGUUGCAGGAGCUAACCUAGGGAAGUGAAACAUCUCAGUACCUAGAGGAAAAGAAAUCAAACGAGACUCCCAAAGUAGCGGCGAGCGAAAUGGGAAGAGGCCAAACCUGUAGGAUUCGUCCUAUGGGGGUUGUAGGGCUGACAGAGGCAAUCAUUGAGUAGGUAGAAGAAGCUGGCUGGAAAGCCACACCAUAGGGGGUGAAAGUCCCGUAUUUGAAGCCGAAAGGGGUGCAGUCAGUCCCUGAGUACUGCGAGGCACGUGAAACCUCGUGGGAAUCAAGGAGGACCAUCUUCUAAGCCUAAGUACUAACCAGCGACCGAUAGUGAACCAGUACCGUGAGGGAAAGGUGAAAAGAACUCCAGUAAGGAGAGUGAAAUAGAAUCUGAAACCUGUUGCUUACAAGCUCUGGGAGCAAUUUUACGAUUGUGACCAGGUGCCUUUUGCAUAAUGAGUCAGCGAGUUAAUCUGUACAGCGAGGUUAAGCGUAAGCGGAGCCGUAGGGAAACCGAGUCUGAUAAGGGCGGAUGAGUUGUGCGGAUUAGACCCGAAACCGGGUGAUCUAUCCAUGAGCAGGUUGAAGCAAGGGUAAAGCCUUGUGGAGGACCGAACAGUCAACGGCUGAAAACGUUUCUGAUGACUUGUGGAUAGGGGUGAAAGGCCAAUCAAACCCGGUGAUAGCUGGUUCUCCCCGAAAUAUAUUGAGGUAUAGCCUCAAGGAUUUUCUAACGGAGGUAAAGCACUGAAAAGGCUAGGGGUCCUACCAGAUUACCAAACCUUAUCAAACUCAGAAUACCGUAUAGAAUUACCUUGGGAGUCAGACAGCGGGUGCUAAGGUCCGUUGUCGAGAGGGUAAGAGCCCAGAUCAACAGCUAAGGUCUCCAAAUACAUACUCAGUGGUCAAGGUGGUGGGGUUGUUCAGACAGCCAGGACGUUGGCUUAGAAGCAGCCAUCGUUUAAAGAAAGCGUAAUAGCUCACUGGUCUAAUGACUCUGCGCCGAAAAUGUAACGGGGCUAAGUAUGUUACCGAAGCUUUGAAUUGCACGCAAGUGUUCUGGUAGGGGAGCGUUCUCUGACAGGCUGAAGGUGUGCCGUAAGGCAUGCUGGACGAGAGAGAAGUGAUUAUGCUGACAUGAGUAACGAUAAAAUAGGUGAAAAACCUAUUCGCCGAAAACCCAAGGUUUUCCGGGUAAAGUUAAUCUUCCCGGAGUUAGUCGGCCCCUAAGGCGAGAGCGAGAGCUGUAGCUGAUGGGAAACGGGUUAAUAUUCCCGUACUUUUAUGAUUGUGCGAUGGAGGGACGCAGAAAGAUAGGCUAUCCGGCUGUUGGAUGCCGGUGCAAGUGUGUAGGAGCAGGAUACAGGCAAAUCCGUAUCCCGGGUCUGAGACACGAGUCCGUGAGCGUAUGCUCUGAAGUAGUUGAGUCUAUGCUGCCAAGAAAAUCUCCUAAGUUUAGGUCAUAGAAACCGUACUGCAAACCAACUCAGGUGGGUGGGAUGAAUAAUCCAAGGCGCUCGAGAGAAUUCUGGCCAAGGAACUCGGCAAAAUAACCCCGUAACUUCGGAAGAAGGGGUGCUCUUUAUUGUGUAGUUUUUUUCUGACGAAGCAUUGAAGAGCCGCAGUGAAUUGGUGGUGGCGACUGUUUACUAAAAACAUAGGUCUGUGCGAAGUCGCAAGACGAUGUAUACGGACUGACGCCUGCCCGGUGCUGGAAGGUUAAAAGGAGGGGUCAGCGCAAGCGAAGCUCCGAAUUGAAGCCCCAGUAAACGGCGGCCGUAACUAUAACGGUCCUAAGGUAGCGAAAUUCCUUGUCGGGUAAGUUCCGACCUGCACGAAUGGCGUAACGAUCUCCACACUGUCUCGGCCAGAAACUCGGUGAAAUUGAAGUCGCGGUGAAAAUGCCGUGUACCCGCAGAAAGACGGAAAGACCCUGUGCACCUUUACUAUAGCUUGACAUUGGAUUUUGGGCCUACAUGUGUAGGAUAGGUGGGAGACAUUGAAGUAUGUACGCCAGUAUGUAUGGAGUCAUCCUUGAAAUACCACCCUUGUAUGUCUAAGGUCCUAACGUGAUGCCGUGAUCCGGCUCACAGACAGUGUCUGGUGGGUAGUUUGACUGGGGCGGUCGCCUCCUAAAGAGUAACGGAGGCAUACAAAGGUUCCCUCAGGCUGUUUGGAAAUCAGCCGUCGAGUGCAAACGCAUAAGGGAGCUUGACUGUAAGAGAGACAUCUCGAACAGAUACGAAAGUAGGUGUUAGUGAUCCGGUGGUCCCGUAUGGAAGGGCCAUCGCUCAUUGGAUAAAAGGUACGCCGGGGAUAACAGGCUGAUCGCAUCCAAGAGUUCAUAUCGACGAUGCGGUUUGGCACCUCGAUGUCGGCUCAUCACAUCCUGGGGCUGAAGCAGGUCCCAAGGGUACGGCUGUUCGCCGUUUAAAGUGGUACGCGAGCUGGGUUUAAAACGUCGUGAGACAGUUUGGUCCCUAUCUUCUGUGGGCGUAGGAAAAUUGAAAGGGCCUGUUCCUAGUACGAGAGGACCGGAAUGGACGCACCCCUGGUGGACCUGUUGUCGUGCCAACGGCACAGCAGGGUAGCUAUGUGCGGAAGGGAUAACCGCUGAAAGCAUCUAAGCGGGAAGCCUGCCUUAAGAUAAGUUUUCCCUGAAGGACCGAUGCAGACUACAUCGUUGAUAGGCCGGAGGUGUAAGCAUAGCGAUAUGUUCAGCUGACCGGUACUAAUAGUCCGUUCGUCUUGUUUCU